CUUAAUCUUCCAAGACGUUCAAAAGUAAGUAAAAACGGGUCCUAUUUAUAGUAGAAGAAAUAGCCCAUGCCUUGUUGAACAAGGAAACAGUUUCUGGUCGUCUGCGAACCCAGUGAUUAACGCGUUGAAGGGCGUCGCGUCGCAUCUAAAUUGCGUUGGUUCACUAUUUUGCAUACCUUCUGAAUCCAUUGGAGCGAUGUACACUCCCAGAAUCCUUCCCAUGCACCCACACUCUCCCAAUACUUUUUAGGUGUCCAAAUUGGCGUCAAGCUGUGUUUUGUGGUUUUGUGAUCCAUUCCAAGCCUUUUUGAGUUGUUUUCACUUGAUUUGAAGCUUGUAAAUCCUUCAUAUAUCAUCAUAGUCCAUUAAACAAGUAUCUUAUAGCACUAAACAUAAUAAUUUAGAGCUCAAAAAAACACAACAUCCUCAACGAUGAACUAGAAACAUGAGCUAAGCAUAGGCUAAAUUCACAUUGAGCUUUAACUUAUUGUUUUGACUCUUUUCUUGAUCCAAUUGACCCUAGAACAUUAUAACUAAGUUGUUUCACAUAUAAAUACAUAAUAACAACCUUAGUAACUCAUUAAAAUACAUUAGAAACCCACACAAUAGAUUAGAAAAAUACCUAGCUCAAGCUAGUUACACUAGUUUUCUCGGUUGAACUCUAAAUGCUCAAAUUGAAUCAAAACUCAUGUAAAACCACCAUUAAACAUUGUAAACACAUACUUGGACACAUAAAUGCUCAUUUAUAUCAUUAUCAACCCAUUAAUCACUUGAAUCAUCCUCAAAACAAGGCUAAAUAGGCUAGAAUAUUAGCGCUAGAAUGCAUAAAUAUACCCAACAUCACCCACACUCAUAUUUUCAAUUUUCUAACUUUCCGACCAAUAGGUCGAAAUGAGAUUGGGUGUAUCGAAACCCAAACCAAAGAUCCACCUAUCCUAAAAUAGAUAUUCUGGAGCUACUGGCACAGUCCAUUCAGUCAUAUGUGGCUCGUAUUAAAAGAUAUCUACAUAAGUCCAAAUAAGGCUCUCGAAGCCAUUAAAAAUCACUAUAUCGCAUAAAUGGUAUCAUAAUGCAUCGAGAACCAUGCCAGUCACUAUCAUACCCCAGAAAUACCAUAAUACAACUACAGGAUAAAAUAGUCAAAUCAUAAAGAAAUACACCAUUCGCACAUUUCUUUAAAAAGUCGGUUGUUACAAUAAUGUAACGUAAAUCAAACACCUUCGGAUAUUAAUAAAGGUAAUUUCACUCAAAAGGACACCAAUUAUGAAAAUGGUGAGCAAUAUUUGGUUACUAAAAUAAGCGUUGGAAUAUUUAAAAUUAUUUAAUAAAAGCAAAAAAAUUCUCUAAAUUGGCAUGGCAAUCAGGAUACCUUAUUUGAAAGAAAAAAAUAUAUUAACUGCAUCAUUAUACAACAUUCAAAAAAAAAAUAGAGAAAAAUUAAGCCCAAUAUCAACCUCAACCAAUACAAUUAUGGGGUAAAUCAUAAUCUAGUAAAGAGAAUGAUAACUUGACGAAGUUACAUGAAAAACUCAAGUAACUGACAUAAGCGUUCUUUAUCAAUUUGAGUGAGGCUAUGAUCCCUAUCUUUAAAGAGUUAGCAAGCAAUUGAAGGGGGGGGGGGAGGGGGGAGGGUUGUAAGCAAAGAGAAGUAUUGUAAUAGAAUGCUGGCUCUAAUUCAUAAUUGUUGUAAGAGGAUACAAAGUUACUUCUGUAUGUGCUUGUGGGAAGGCAAUACCCAAGUCAUCUAUCAACUCAUAGUACAUUAUUGUGUAUUGAACCUCUUGUAACAGACUCUCUUUGAGGAUCAAUUGUCCAGUGAUGGCCAUCAAAAAUGAAUUUUAUCUGUACCAAAUGAAGCUCUUGAACAAUAUAAGAUGCAUUCAAACAUCUUUAACACAGAAGAACAGAAAAGCUAUUAGGCAGAGGUAAGAUUGAAUAUUAUAAAUAGAAACUCAUCAAAAGACUCAACUUGCUCACUCCUGGUAGCACAUUCUAAUUUAAGAAAUCCUUUCUAUUUUAUUCCAUCUCAAAACUAAAUCCUUCAAAGUAGCAAGAUUUUGUUAUAAACUAAUACUGUUACAUAGUACUUCAAAUUUUAGGAGACGUUCCUUUUUUAAUAAUUGUUAGAUAAAGCGUGUAAAUAGAAUUAAACUUGUUUGUAAUACAUGAACAAGUGUAUGCAAUAGAGCUAUUCAAGGCUUUUUAGAGCCACUUUAACUAUAUAAUUUUCUUAAUUUUUCAAAAUUAGAAUAAUGAGAAACACACAGAUGAAGAAGGUGGCAAACACACACACUUUUAAAGUCGAUACACUAAUUACCAUAUUGAAUUCUUCAAUAGUGGGAAAUCCUACAAUAUAAAGUUUUGAAAUUUCUAAAUAAAUUCUAAGCAAAAGCAGCAGCAUAGCUCAUGAUUCUGGCGAUAAUUAUCGAUUUAUCACAAUAUAGAUAGAAAAAUCAUCUUAAUACUUCUUAACUAUAAAAACAUCUUUCGUGAAAUAGAAAUUGAAAGCUAGCAUAGAGAUCUGCAGCUUUUACAAAAAAAAUUAAAUAAAAAAGAAAGACAACCUUGCAUCUACGGAAUCAUGGAACAAAUCUGGCUCAUCACAGAAGCUACAUAUCAAAAAUAGGAAAAUUAUAUCAAUUACCCAAACGAUCAAAAAGAAAAAAACUCACCCCCUCCUUCCCGAAAAAAAAUAUACAACAAACUAAAUAUUAGCACAAAUCUCAGAAGCAUAAGUGUAUAACACAUUUUCAAGAAAAAAAGGGUUCUCACCAGUCACUAGAAAAUCUAAGUGAUCUACAACCACAUAAAUUACCUUAUGAUUACUUUGUCAAACACCUCCAAAUUAGAUAAAUUUUAAAAAUGAUUGAGAUUUUUUCAACUUCUGCAAUAUCUAACAAGUCUUCAUGUAAGAGGAUGGUUCGAGAUAUAGAAUUUAUAAAAAAUUUUAAAAAGAUAGACCAUCCUUUUAUUUGGGUAUUUAUCAAGAAUAAAAUAUUGUAAAGGCUUCC
Molecule: long non-coding RNA, 3011 nt
Filed under: Capsicum annuum
Lineage: Eukaryota; Viridiplantae; Streptophyta; Magnoliopsida; Solanales; Solanaceae
Description: long non-coding RNA (CANN_LNC017542)
Source: RNAcentral